Molecule: transfer RNA, 84 nt
Filed under: uncultured Quadrisphaera sp.
Lineage: Bacteria; Bacillati; Actinomycetota; Actinomycetes; Kineosporiales; Kineosporiaceae
Description: tRNA-Leu-TAG
Rfam family: tRNA
About the family: Transfer RNA (tRNA) molecules are approximately 80 nucleotides in length. Their secondary structure includes four short double-helical elements and three loops (D, anti-codon, and T loops). Further hydrogen bonds mediate the characteristic L-shaped molecular structure. tRNAs have two regions of fundamental functional importance: the anti-codon, which is responsible for specific mRNA codon recognition, and the 3' end, to which the tRNAs corresponding amino acid is attached (by aminoacyl-tRNA synthetases). tRNAs cope with the degeneracy of the genetic code in two manners: having more than one tRNA (with a specific anti-codon) for a particular amino acid; and 'wobble' base-pairing, i.e. permitting non-standard base-pairing at the 3rd anti-codon position.
Source: RNAcentral
GCGCGAGUGGUGAAACGGCAGCCACGCAGGGUUUAGGUCCCUGUGCCCCCGGGCGUGCGGGUUCGACUCCCGCCUCGCGCACCU